GAUGAACGCUCGCUCCAGGCUUAACACAUGCAAGUCGAGGGGAAACGGCAUUAAGUGCUUGCACUUUUUGGACGUCGACCGGCGCACGGGUGAGUAACGCGUAUCCAACCUUCCCAUGACUAAGGGAUAACCUGCCGAAAGGCAGACUAAUACCUUAUGGUCUUCACUGACGGCAUCAGAUGUGAAGUAAAGAUUUAUCGGUUAUGGAUGGGGAUGCGUCUGAUUAGCUUGUUGGCGGGGUAACGGCCCACCAAGGCAACGAUCAGUAGGGGUUCUGAGAGGAAGGUCCCCCACAUUGGAACUGAGACACGGUCCAAACUCCUACGGGAGGCAGCAGUGAGGAAUAUUGGUCAAUGGGCGAGAGCCUGAACCAGCCAAGUAGCGUGCAGGAUGACGGCCCUAUGGGUUGUAAACUGCUUUUGUAUGGGGAUAAAGUCAAUCACGUGUGAUUGUUUGCAGGUACCAUACGAAUAAGGACCGGCUAAUUCCGUG
Molecule: ribosomal RNA, 492 nt
Filed under: uncultured bacterium
Lineage: Bacteria
Description: partial 16S ribosomal RNA
Rfam family: Bacterial small subunit ribosomal RNA
Source: RNAcentral